This 2005-nucleotide long non-coding RNA is filed under the name Panicum hallii. Its description in RNAcentral is "long non-coding RNA (PHAL_LNC000679)". Lineage: Eukaryota; Viridiplantae; Streptophyta; Magnoliopsida; Poales; Poaceae. The record is from RNAcentral.
CAGCGGGGUUUUUGCCCGUCUGCCCAAUGGUGAAAUUAGGGAAGGGAGAAGGAAGAUAGGAGAUGGGUAAAUUCUUUGUUGAUCCUUCAAGCUCCUGAUUACAUCUAUUAUAUAGGCAUAUAGCCUUAUCUCUAUCUCUAAGAAAUCAAAUCCCUGAUUCUAGUCUUUCCAUAUAACUAACCAAAUCUUUAUCCUACACUUUCCUAACUGCCUGGAGGAUCUGGCGCCUGUGUGCGGGACCGGCGCUGGUAAUUUCAUCCCCACAUAACAGGGAGCUUCAUCUUUGGUCAGUUGUUUGCAGGAUGAAGCAUCACCACGGGAGCACCCAUCUUCUCACCUUCAAAUUUCAAAAGAAAAUUUAGUCAACAAAACCAUGCUACGAGGCCUUGCACCAUCAGAACGCGGUCUUGGGGGCACUAUUAAGCAUCCCAUCAGCUUCCCACCCCUCCAUCCCUGAAACAUAUUCACCCCAUCCCCCUAAAAGAUUCUCUUCCUCUUCCAUUAGCUCCCCAACUAAUAAGUAAUCCUAUUUGCUCACUACUGUUCAAGUGCCUGAACACAGAACAUGGAUAGUAAUUUCAGGGCCUAAACUAUAGCACAUAACAAAAUCUCUAUUAAGGCAACUGUACAGUGGCAUUUCUAUGAUUAACCCAUAAAGAAAGCAUACUAGAUAAACUCUAUUAAGGCACAUAACAAAAUCUCUAUUAAGGCAACUGUACAGUGGCAUUUCUAUGAUUAACCCAUAAAGAAAGCAUACUAGAUAAACUCGGGAAAGCCAGCAAGUACCUGUUUUCUGCCCACCUGAUGGCGUUGCAAUCUUUGCUUUCUUAUUAUAAGCAGAAGUCUUUAACACAGUUUCAGCCACUCUCUUGCCAGUCUCAGGCUGCAAUGAACAAACAAUCGAACCACACAGGAGUCACGUGAGGGUACAACACAUGUACGCGGAUCCCAGGAAACUCUCAUCUUUCCAGGCUACAAUGAAAGGACUAACAAACACGACUCACAUGAGGCUGUUUCUUCCCAUACCCUGCACACGUGGACACAGAACCCAGCAACUCACAUAGGCACCAGAAUCAUCUGAUGUUCUAGAUACAAAUAGAAACAAGUAACAACUACCAAAUACACACCUAAAGAGUUUUGUGUUCCUACCCUUCAACCAUUUCAUCAAUGGAAGGAUAAGUCAGUUGCCAAUUAUUCAAUAGAGCAAAUUACUCUAUUGCAACAAACGUACAUGAUGUCCCGAGUUUUCAAUUAGAUACAAAUUUUGUAAACCACCUUCAACAAAACCCCACCCCCCAACACACACACCCCUAAAUCUCAGGGAGACAGGGCCAAGCUCACGCCACACCAAUCGCAAGGGGUCACAUGUUGAUAGGGCCAAGCCCAUGCCAUGCCCCACUGCACCCUCAUCCAGUGAAAUCGGGACAAGCAUCCACUAUGGUCACCAUUAACCACACGCCACACAAUCAUUGUCCUUCGGCUCCCAUCCUAUGUGACGUCGCAGCAGCCAACCACCCGAAGCUCUGCCUCGUCGCUAUCACCAUGAUCUAAGACUUUUCUAAGGGAACCUCCCUCUAAGAAUAUCGUGAGGAGGUGAAGCGCCAAGCCUUCCUCAAGCUCAUCGACUACGUCUAGGGCCACUUACUCACCAGCAACGCUCCUGCCUACCUGCCCACCUCCCAAAAAAAAUUCACAGGACAAGUAAAGGAGAAGACGUGAUUGUGUGCUACAUGUGAUGCGAUUGUGUGAUGGUGGCCAGGGGUGCCACGUCAUCAAACCACGCUCUAAUACCACUUUGGACCUGAUCAUAAUUCAUAACAAAACGUAGCACUUCAGACCUAAUCAUACAAAACAGCAAUGCAACUUCAUUUUCUAAGAUGCUAUUCCACACUCCCAAUUUCACAUAUCUAAGAGGAUGGGAGAAGAUAAAUGAUUUGGUCAUCAAUAAACUUACAUGGAUAUCAUCAGAUGAGUCAUCAUCACUCUCAUCCACGUCACUGUCAAC